AGUAAUUGCGACUUACUUGUUACAGCAGAAGCUUCAAGGUAGGAAAUCUAUGACCCAAAGCUCUCUCUCGAAAGUUAGAAUGUUUAAACUGAUCUUUAAAACUGUUGUUGAGGGGCAAUUUAUUUAAAAGCUUUUAUUUUAUGGUGUUGUUAGUGCUUAGCAUGCCUCAGGAUAAAGACUAGUUUUAUUGCAGGACCCUUGAGAAGAGGGGUGUAUAGCAAGUAACCAGUUUUCCGUGUGCCAGUAAGCAACAGUGAGAACACUCAGUGUAUUAGCUUAACUUUUUGUGGGAGUUAAAUUGAUGUUGGCAGGCUUUGCCUUUAAGGAAGUUCUUUUAAAUUUCCAUUUUCUUGAAGUUGGUUUGAUUGGCAGAUUUCCCCCCUCUCUUAAGGAUACAAUGAAACAUAUUCACUUCUCUUAUGAAAAUAUUCUUUUAAUAAACUACAUUCCCAUCCCCUAGAAAAAUGCCCAGCACACAGUAGGGGUACAAUAAAUGGUUUCAGAUUAAUUUCUUGUUAAAAUUAAUGAACUCUCUGCUUCUUUACUUGUAUAUGUAGAAUUUACACUCAUUGGAAUAAUAAAAUAGAAGUAAGCAACCGUGCAUUAAAAAGCUAUGAAAAGAUGAAGAGAAUAUGCCUUCAAAUGGGAAGGAAUACUUAACUGUGAAUAAGACCUAGUUCAACAUGGAACUUCCUGGUGGCCAAGUCAGAAGAGAAGCACAGAACAAAAACGGAGGCACAGAGAGGUCAAUUGAUUGGUCUAAUGACACAGAUCUAGCAAGUGGUGGAACCAGGACUGAAUCCAGGUGUGUGUCCGGAAUUGGUGGGUUCUUGGUCUCACUGACUUCAAGAAUGAAGCCGCGGACCCUUGCGGAACUGUGAAGACUAGAGUGACCUUGGAGAUCUCAUCUGGAAGAUGGUAGAACUGCUAUCAGCCUGGCUUCCCAAAUGACCUCCUGGAUCACAGCUACCCAUGGCCUGAAAUGUUGACCUUGGAGUUGUUGCAUAGGAAAGAAAUAAACUUCUUUGUUCUUUGAGCCACAUAGUUAUCACAUAUCUUCUUAAAGCCACUUACCCACUUGUUCUAUCUCAUUCAGCUCUGAAAUUCUGUUUAAUUUCUAGAGUCAAAACAUUCAUUUGUUUCUUCUUUAUUUAACAAGAAUCAAUUACUUAUUUUAUGGAAGCCACUAUUCCAAAGAGAAGAAUCAUAAAAACAUUAGCCUUAUGGAUCUUUUGUCCUGGGAACAACACAGAGUGGAGACUACUGGAAUUUUUAAUAAAGUUCCUUUCCUGGGCAGUGCCAGUCCAGACCUAAUUUCCAGACUUAGUUAAGAUUAGACCAGUGUGCUGAAGAAUCAAAACAUCUAGAUAUUUUCCUUGCUCCAUUCUGCUUACAGCCCCACAAAAACUACUCACCCCACAGGGUUUCUUGCUUGAGAUUCCAGACAAUUCCUGUAUGUUUUAUUAGAAUACACUCUGUGUUUCAUCCAACUAGGAAGCCUUUGGCUCCGACUUAAAGCAUUAAGAACGGACCACUUUGGUAUGGAAAAUUAUCAGUUUUGGGGGAAAAGCCCCUGUUUCUCUGAUCUGUGCUCUGAAUUUGGCAGCUUUGUAGGCUUUCUCAAAGAGCCGCAACUGUGAACCAUGUCAUGUUGUCAUUAUCUCUGAUAUGCUCUGUGCAUUGGAAAUCCUGUGUGAGACUGGCAGGGGACAGAGGGAAUGAAGAAAUCACAUUCAUCAGAACAAGCUGCUCAACUUCCUUAAGUAAGGAGUUUGUCUAACAUCCAGUGGUUUCCUCUGACAGAGUGUGUACUUUCUUAACAUACGGACAAGAUUAGUACAUAGCCAGAAUGACUGUCUGCAGGUCCUAGGCUGCUUUUCAGAGGCAGCUUUAAUCUUCCUAAUUGAAUAUUUAGCUUUUCUAGGCCUGCACAAAAUGUAAAUCACAAUGUUUACAAUCUGUGAAAUAAUAGGAGAGUACAUAAUGUCAUUGCAAUAUUUUGUAAUCACUGUUAAAUGACUA
RNAcentral lists this long non-coding RNA (2022 nucleotides) under Homo sapiens (human). Its description in RNAcentral is "non-protein coding lnc-HDDC2-5:19". Lineage: Eukaryota; Metazoa; Chordata; Mammalia; Primates; Hominidae. The record is from RNAcentral.